Molecule: ribosomal RNA, 618 nt
Filed under: Amblyjoppa basalis
Lineage: Eukaryota; Metazoa; Arthropoda; Insecta; Hymenoptera; Ichneumonidae
Description: eukaryotic LSU rRNA
Rfam family: Eukaryotic large subunit ribosomal RNA
Source: RNAcentral
AAACCUGAGAAACCCGAAAGAUCGAAUGGGGAGAUUCAUCGUCAGCGAUUCCGGUACGUGUGCGGCUCGCGAUGUCCGAGAGACUUCGGUCUCGCGGCGCACGCGUCCGUAUGUUUUUUAUUGCUGGAAUCGUCGGCGUGCACUUCUCCCCUAGUAGGACGUCGCGACCCGUUGGGUGUCGGUCUACGGCACGGUAGGGUAGCCUGUCGCGCAUGGCGCUUCGCGGCGUUACGCGGGGCAGACCUCCGUUCGCCCGACCGACUGCUCGGCGGUACUCGCAAGGUAUCUGGCCGCAGGAAUAUGACUGCGUCCGGCCCGUCGCAAGCGCGGCAAGUGUUUCCCGGCUGUACGGAUCCAAUGCCGUCACCGGGCCUUGCCAGCUGUUGGUUGACGGUGUCCUAGGACUGGCUAACGAUACCGGUCGGCGACGCUACUGCUUUGGGUACUUUCAGGACCCGUCUUGAAACACGGACCAAGGAGUCUAACAUGUGCGCGAGUCAUUGGGAACUCUGUUAAGCCUAAAGGCGCAAUGAAAGUGAAGAUCGGCCUCGCGCCGAUCGAGGGAGGAUGGACCGCGUCACGAUGCGGUCCCGCACUCCCGGGGCGUCUCGUUCUCAU